UACGUAGGGUGCGAGCGUUAAUCGGAAUUACUGGGCGUAAAGCGUGCGCAGGCGGCUUUGCAAGACAGAUGUGAAAUCCCCGGGCUCAACCUGGGAACUGCAUUUGUGACUGCAAGGCUAGAUUACGGCAGAGGGGGAUGGAAUUCCGCGUGUAGCAGUGAAAUGCGUAGAUAUGCGGAGGAACACCAAUGGCGAAGGCAAUCCCCUGGGCCUGUACUGACGCUCAUGCACGAAAGCGUGGGGAGCAAACAGG
Molecule: ribosomal RNA, 253 nt
Filed under: uncultured bacterium
Lineage: Bacteria
Description: partial 16S ribosomal RNA
Rfam family: Bacterial small subunit ribosomal RNA
Source: RNAcentral